RNAcentral lists this ribosomal RNA (253 nucleotides) under uncultured bacterium. Its description in RNAcentral is "partial 16S ribosomal RNA". It matches the Rfam family "Bacterial small subunit ribosomal RNA", at positions 524 to 776 of the family's 1533-position model. The record is from RNAcentral.
UACAGAGGGUGCGAGCGUUAUUCGGAAUUAUUGGGCGUAAAGCGUGUGUAGGCGGCUAUCUAAGUCGGGUGUGAAAGCCCCGGGCUCAACCUGGGAAUUGCAUUCGAGACUGAAUAGCUAGAGUACGGUAGAGGGAAGUGGAAUUUCCGGUGUAGCGGUGAAAUGCGUAGAUAUCGGAAGGAACACCAGUGGCGAAAGCGACUUCCUGGACCAGUACCGACGUUCAGGCACGAAAGCGUGGGGAGCAAACAGG